Molecule: ribosomal RNA, 253 nt
Filed under: uncultured bacterium
Lineage: Bacteria
Description: partial 16S ribosomal RNA
Rfam family: Bacterial small subunit ribosomal RNA
Source: RNAcentral
GACGAACCGAGCGACCGUUGUUCGGAAUCACUGGGCUUAAAGGGCGCGUAGGCGGGCCGCCGCGUCCGGGGUGAAAUCCCACGGCUCAACCGUGGAACGGCCUCGGAUACGGGCGGCCUCGAGGGGGGUAGGGGCAUGCGGAACUGUGAGUGGAGCGGUGAAAUGCGUUGAUAUUCACAGGAACUCCGGUGGCGAAGGCGGCGUGCUGGACCCCUUCUGACGCUGAGGCGCGAAAGCCAGGGGAGCAAACGGG